This 443-nucleotide ribosomal RNA is filed under the name Salmonella enterica subsp. enterica serovar Typhimurium. RNAcentral describes it as "partial 23S ribosomal RNA". It matches the Rfam family "Bacterial large subunit ribosomal RNA", at positions 911 to 1269 of the family's 2925-position model. The record is from RNAcentral. Lineage: Bacteria; Pseudomonadati; Pseudomonadota; Gammaproteobacteria; Enterobacterales; Enterobacteriaceae. RNAcentral also lists the same sequence under 2 other names.
UGUUUCGGCUAGGGGGCCAUCCCGGCUUACCAACCCGAUGCAAACUGCGAAUACCGGAGAAUGUUAUCACGGGAGACACACGGCGGGUGCUAACGUCCGUCGUGAAGAGGGAAACAACCCAGACCGCCAGCUAAGGUCCCAAAGUCAUGGUUAAGUGGGAAACGAUGUGGGAAGGCCCAGACAGCCAGGAUGUUGGCUUAGAAGCAGCCAUCAUUUAAAGAAAGCGUAAUAGCUCACUGGUCGAGUCGGCCUGCGCGGAAGAUGUAACGGGGCUAAACCAUGCACCGAAGCUGCGGCAGCGAACGUAUCACUUAAAGCGAUUCAGCGGGUUACGAUUGACGGAGCGAAGCGACGUCAAAGCGUAUACAAAGUCGAGUCGGUUUAAGGAUACGUUCGUUGGGUAGGGGAGCGUUCUGUAAGCCUGUGAAGGUGGCCUGUGAGGG